ACCUGAUCCCUUCCCGAACUCAGAAGUGAAACCUCUUCGCGCUGAUGGUAGUGUGGGGUUACCCAUGUGAGAGUAAGUCAUCGCCAGCU
This 89-nucleotide ribosomal RNA is filed under the name Acinetobacter harbinensis. RNAcentral also lists the same sequence under 2 other names. Lineage: Bacteria; Pseudomonadati; Pseudomonadota; Gammaproteobacteria; Moraxellales; Moraxellaceae. The record is from RNAcentral.